GACGAACGCUGGCGGCGUGCUUAACACAUGCAAGUCGAACGGAAAGGCCCUGCUUUUGUGGGGUGCUCGAGUGGCGAACGGGUGAGUAACACGUGAGUAACCUGCCCUUGACUUUGGGAUAACUUCAGGAAACUGGGGCUAAUACCGGAUAGGAGCUCCUGCUGCAUGGUGGGGGUUGGAAAGUUUCGGCGGUUGGGGAUGGACUCGCGGCUUAUCAGCUUGUUGGUGGGGUAGUGGCUUACCAAGGCUUUGACGGGUAGCCGGCCUGAGAGGGUGACCGGCGACAUUGGGACUGAGAUACGGCCCAGACUCCUACGGGAGGAAGCAGUGGGGAAUAUUGCACAAUGGGCGGAAGCCUGAUGCAGCAACGCCGCGUGCGGGAUGACGGCCUUCGGGUUGUAAACCGCUUUCGCCUGUGACGAAGCGUGAGUGACGGUAAUGGGUAAAGAAGCACCGGCUAACUACGUG
This 468-nucleotide ribosomal RNA is filed under the name uncultured bacterium. Its description in RNAcentral is "partial 16S ribosomal RNA". It matches the Rfam family "Bacterial small subunit ribosomal RNA", at positions 28 to 507 of the family's 1533-position model. The record is from RNAcentral.